GGGCAACUACCACUCAGGGCCGGAAAGCUCUCCAAACUCGGUCAUUUAGAGGAAGUAAAAGUCGUAACAAGGUCUCCGUUGGUGAACCAGCGGAGGGAUCAUUACCGAGUUUACAACUCCCAAACCCAAUGUGAACCAUACCAAACUGUUGCCUCGGCGGGGUCACGCCCCGGGUGCGUCGCAGCCCCGGAACCAGGCGCCCGCCGGAGGGACCAACCAAACUCUUUUCUGUAGUCCCCUCGCGGACGUUAUUUCUUACAGCUCUGAGCAAAAAUUCAAAAUGAAUCAAAACUUUCAACAACGGAUCUCUUGGUUCUGGCAUCGAUGAAGAACGCAGCGAAAUGCGAUAAGUAAUGUGAAUUGCAGAAUUCAGUGAAUCAUCGAAUCUUUGAACGCACAUUGCGCCCGCCAGUAUUCUGGCGGGCAUGCCUGUCCGAGCGUCAUUUCAACCCUCGAACCCCUCCGGGGGGUCGGCGUUGGGGAUCGGGAACCCCUAAGACGGGAUCCCGGCCCCGAAAUACAGUGGCGGUCUCGCCGCAGCCUCUCCUGCGCAGUAGUUUGCACAACUCGCACCGGGAGCGCGGCGCGUCCACGUCCGUAAAACACCCAACUUCUGAAAUGUUGACCUCGGAUCAGGUAGGAAUACCCGCUGAACUUAAGCAUAUCAAUAAGCGGAGGAAAAGAAACCAACAGGGAUUGCCCCAGUAACGGCGAGUGAAGCGGCAACAGCUCAAAUUUGAAAUCUGGCCCCUAGGGUCCGAGUUGUAAUUUGUAGAGGAUGCUUUUGGUGAGGUGCCGCCCGAGUUCCCUGGAACGGGACGCCGCAGAGGGUGAGAGCCCCGUCUGGCUGGCCACCG
Molecule: ribosomal RNA, 857 nt
Filed under: Trichoderma gamsii
Lineage: Eukaryota; Fungi; Ascomycota; Sordariomycetes; Hypocreales; Hypocreaceae
Description: eukaryotic LSU rRNA
Rfam family: Eukaryotic large subunit ribosomal RNA (bases 623-857)
Source: RNAcentral